AUCAACUUUCGAUGGUAGGAUAGAGGCCAUCCAUGGUUUUAACGGGUAACGGGGAAUUAGGGUUCGAAUUCCGAAGAGGGAGCUGAGAAACGGCUACCACAUCCAAGGAAGGCAGCAGGCGCGCAAAUUACCCAAUCCCGACACGGGGAGGUAGUGACAAUAAAUAACAAUACGGGGCUCAUUUGGGUCUCGUAAUUGGAAUGAGUACAAUUUAAAUCUCUUAACGAGGAACAAUUGGAGGGCAAGUCUGGUGCCAGCAGCCGCGGUAAUUCCAGCUCCAAUAGCGUAUAUUAAAGUUGUUGCAGUUAAAAAGCUCGUAGUUGAACCUCGGGGUCUACCCAUUGGUCAGGCUUAAUUGUCUGCACUGGUGAGAUGGAUCUCUACCUUCUGAGGAACUUUCAUGCCAUUUAUUUGGUGUGAUAGGAAAUCAGGACUGUUACUUUGAAAAAAUUAGAGUGUUUAAAGCAGACUAUCGUCUGAAUACAUUAGCAUGGAAUAAUGAAAUAGGACGGACUGAUUCUAUUUCGUUGGUUUCUAGGAUCACCGUAAUGAUUAAUAGGGAUAGUUGGGGACAUUAGUAUUUAUUCGUCAGAGGUGAAAUUCUUGGAUUGAAUAAAGACUAACUUCUGCGAAAGCAUUUGCCAAGGAUGUUUUCAUUAAUCAAGAACGAAAGUUAGGGGAUCGAAGACGAUCAGAUACCGUCGUAGUCUUAACCAUAAACUAUGCCGACUAGGGAUCGGACGAAGUUAAUUUUAUAAUGACGCGUUCGGCACCUUACGGGAAACCAAAGUGUUUGGGUUC
Molecule: ribosomal RNA, 801 nt
Filed under: uncultured Diversispora
Lineage: Eukaryota; Fungi; Glomeromycota; Glomeromycetes; Diversisporales; Diversisporaceae
Description: SSU rRNA
Rfam family: Eukaryotic small subunit ribosomal RNA
Source: RNAcentral